GAAGAAGCAGGCUCACAGCAGAGGAGCCUGACGUGGGGGCUCGAUCCCAUAAUGCCGGGAUCACGCCCUGAGCCGAAGGCAGACGCUUAACCGCUGUGCCACCCAGGCACCCCACAGUCUCGGUUUUCUGAUCUGUACUUUGGGAUCAUUCACCUGACCUGGCAGGGUGGUUGUGAGGGUUGAGCAAGUAGGGACAUUCAGUGGACUUGGCAGGGUUUAAAUCCGUUUAUUAGUGGGCUACCUUUAGGCAAGUUGCCUCCUCUAAGCCUCAUCUGUAAAAUGGGGAUAACCAUACUCCCUGCCUCCUGGGGAAUUUGUGACAAUGAAGUGAGAUCCUGUACAUACAGCAUGUAUUACACACUCAAUAACAGCGAGCUAUGCGUUAUCAUUGCUGCUGUCACUGCCUUCUCUUUCCUUCCCUCAGAAGAUGGGUGCCGGGAGGGCACAGCCUGGCCUUUAGCCUCCCUCUUCCUCCCCGGGGGUCAUCAGAAAUCUCUGGAGUCUCACUACACACCACAGCUGCGUCCCAGGUCGGUGACCUGUGUGAGCCCAGCCCCUGCCAGAGCCUCGGUCUUCUCCUGCAUUAUGGGGCUUGUGGCAGGGCUGGCCGGCCUCACCAGGAGGUUCCAGCUGGGCCCAUGAUCUAGAAAAGGGAAAGAGCUCUAGAGUGGGUAGAUGGGGUCUUGUGAGGGAGCGACAUUUUCCUAGCAAUGCUGUAGAUGCAAUCUUGGGGGACCUCCUAGAGAUGGGGCUGGUGGGGGAGCUUCUGACUGAACCCCUUUGGAAAGGUGACCUGGGGGUGGUGAUAAGAGACAGGAAGGGCACCGUGGCUCUGCUGACCCUCCAAGGGAAGGUUUUAGCAGCAGGGAUGGCCAAGCCCCUGCUGCAGGGUGGGGACACUCAGGCCACAGUGAGAGGACCUGUCUCUGAUGUCCAUGUGCAGUGUGGCCCUGGGUGCUUGGUGUACUUUCUCCGUGCCUCAGUUUCCUUUGCCGUGAGUGUCCCAGGUAGGCCUCACUCCCUCAUCUGCUGGAUUUCCCAGCCCCCGCGGACCCCCUGGCCCGGCCCCCUUGCCCGCAUGGAGGCUGAGGCCAGGGCUCAGGGCCAGGGCCGCGCACCUUGACAACCCGCCCACGUCAGGCACAAAGGCCCAUUGUUUGGGCCCACGUUGGCGGGGAAGCGGGCGGGGAGCAGCCGCCUUUCACCCAACCCGCUUGUGGUCGGCGGGGACUGAGGAGCGAUUCACAGAGGCCCCCGCCCCCUGACCGGGCACCCGGCCAGGCCGCCUCCUGGGCAGGCACCCUUGCCAAGCUGGCAGCUCCUACUCUGAGCUGGGCCUCAGUUUCCCCAGCUGAGAAGAGGGCCGCAGAAUGGCUCUGGAGGGGUGGGCAGAGCUUGCUCUUUGACCUUGCUGCCCUGAGAUCCGUCUUCAUGAGGCUGUGGCUUCCCCUGGCACAGAGAGGCUGCUCCAGCUGCACCUGAGGAGGCCAGAGGCACUAGAACUUCAGGGCCUGACAGACCUGGGUUCAAAUUCUGGGUGAUUUUGGGUGAGUUUGUUCACCUCCAUGAACCUUAGUUUCUUCAUCUAUAAAAGGAGACUUGGGGUCCAUGACCCUCAGGGUAAAAUGAGAAAAAGGUGCCACAGGUGACAUUAUUUGGUCGUUUGUUCAAAAAUACAUCCUGGGUGUCAACCAUGUACAGGAUUUUUGAUAGAAUUUGGGUGCAAAAUGAAAUACAGAGCCUCUUGUUCAAAAUAAGAGCUCCAAGAUGGCAGCAGCAUUAAACCAAACAUGGCAGCUUCUAAGCGUGGGACUCUGUGUGAUGGUGCAGAUCACACACCCAUGGAGCCCACCCUGACUGUGCUGAGCACUCUCCCGGGCCUGGGGACGCAGCUCAUAAGCUGAGGAAAGCUUAUGUCCUCAUGAAGCUGACAGUCUGUCAGGGGAUCCAGGGCUUCCUUUGGGACUGCCUGUUAGAUCUUUUUUGAAGCCAGGUGUCCCUGGAGGCCUGCUCCUCCAGGGCCUGCUGGCCAGGUGAUGCAGGGUGAGCUGGGGCACCCAAGCUUCCCAUCGGGGCUUUGUGUGAAUGACCGCACAUCAAGCUGGGCCCCCCAAAUGAGUAAUGGCUGACAUUGACUGAGUGGAGACUCCAUGCUAGGGCUGAUCCAGACGCUUCUCCCAGUUAACGCAGGUCAUCUUUGUAAUGGCCCUGUGAGGAGGCAGGGCAGCAUGGUUCCCCCUCUAUACAGAUGGGGAAACUGAGGCUCAAGUCAGUGAGCAGAAGAGACAGGAUUUAAACCCAGGCUGUCUGGUGCCAGAGCCUUAAUCUCCUCAUCCUACUGUCUGCCAAGGGGGCAGUGAUGAGCCAGGUGGUGUGUGCCUGGGACAGAGGCCCUGCUGGGGUUCGAGGCUGGGAAGGGCGCGGGUGUGCUGGUGGCCCGCCAGCUGCCACCUGGGUUGGCCCUGCUGUGGCCCUGAGUCACAGCCCUGUGUCCUGGGAAGCUGGCUGUGCCUCGGGCACCCAUGGGGCCUGAGUCACAGCAGAGCACACCCUGCCACCCUGCCUACCUCCCGCCUGGGCCUGGGGACAGGUAGGCCCUAGAAGCAGAUCUCUAAGCAGGAGCUCACAUUUGUGCCCACUGUCAGGGGCAAGAGAGAGGUACCUGCUUGCAGCCCCAGAAGCACAUUUCUGCCUUGUCUCAUGGAGCCCAAACUCACCCUUCCAAGUUAUCCCAAGAUGGGUUAGCAGGCUGGUGAGUUACUGAGCUCCCCGUCCCUGGGAGCAUUCAAGGAAGGAUAGCCUGUCAGGAUGCUGAAGAGGGUUGCUGUAUCAGAUUGGGCCUGGCAUUGGAGUAUGUGACUUCCAAAACCCUAUCUUUGUUCAUGUACUUAUUUUUGAGUAGCUACUGUGAGAAAAUGGCCUAAAAUCCAAAAAGUACAAAAGGAUAGGGAGUGAAAAGUAAGUGUCCACCCUCCCUGACUCCCAGCCUCCAACUUUUCCUCCCCAGAAGCAGCCACCAUUAACUGAUGUUUUCCCCCAGAGCUAGUUUAUGUACCUACAAACAAAUAUAUACAUUGUCCUUUCCUCCCUCCUUCCUUCACACACAAAUGAUAGCCUACUGGCUUAUAUUCCAUUCUGCCCCUCAUUUAAUUUCUGUUUUACUUGACAACUUAUCUUGAAGGCUGUUCCAGAUAGCACACAUAGUGUGCUGCCUCACAGUUCUUACCCAGCCACAUGGCAUUCCUCCUCCCCACCCCCUGCCUUCCACAUAAUCUAUAUAGCACAUUUAAUGAAAGGCCUUUCAAUCCUGAAUUCUGCAUUUUGGGGUUGGUGCCAUCCUUCACUCUGAUGGCCUGAGGAAAUUUUCAAAGUUUGACUGGAAACUGUAAGCUCUUUCCACAUAUGCAGGGAUGUUUGGGGGCAGGGGGGCGGCGGGCGUCUGUUUUUGGUUGAAGUUAUACAAGACAUAAAAGAGCAAGAGCGAGAGAGAACCUUUCACCCACACACCUCCGUGCCAGGCACUGAUGAUCUAAUGGUGAACCCCACAGACACCAGCUCAUCUACCUGUAGUGUGGCCAGGCUGUGGGACGAGGUGCCCAUGUGUGGUGCCUGGGAGCCCUGUGUGUGUGUGUGUGUGUGUGUACGCACGUGUACACACAUAUGUGUGAGGGGUCAGCAAUGAGACGAGUUAGGUGGGGCUUUAAGGGAUGCAUAGGAGUUCAUAUGAGAAGCAUGGAGAUGGGCCUACCAGGCAGAGGGGACAGCACGAAGAGUGAAACUACUUGGUGGAUGCAGAACUGACUACCAGCUUCAAUUUAUUGAGUACCUACUAUGUGCCAGGUACUGUGCUCAGUGCUUUAACGUCAUUGCUGUAUUUAAACUCCCCAGAAUUCUAGGCUAUUAUCAUCCCCAUUUUACAGACAAAAACCAAGGUACAAAAAAGCAUAGUUACUUGCUCGUGGCCACACGGCUGCAGGUAUUGGAGCCUAGAUUUGAACCAGGCAGAUUGAGCUCCUGGCCGUUCUAGUAUUUCACAAAGGCAAAGGGAUAGCUGGUAAGGCUCUGAAUGUUAGACUUCAAUGUCUAACCUUCCCAGCUCAGGUCCUGUGCCUGCUCAGAGGCCUUCAGUGUUUCCCCAUGGCCCCAGGAUCCCCUGGUCUGAGCUACCCUCUGCUCCCACAGCCAGCACGGGUGCCUCGGGCAGCACGAGACCUUUCUGGUGAGCUGGGUGCUACAGGCACUCCCUAACUGCCAGGGAGUACUCCGGGCAUACAGACCCUGGCCUGUCCCCACUGGUAGGUUUCAGAUGUGGCUGGAGAUUGGACUGGAUUCCAAGGUCUUGGUGCUUUGAGGCCUCUGAGCUGUCUCAGGUACAGCUCUGGUUAGCACUCAGUCUGUUUCCCAUGUGCUUUGGUGGGUAUUGGGCCCGAAGCUUUUGAAAUCCCACUGACCCUGCAGUGUGGGAAUUCAUCACCCGGUUUUGCAGAUGAGAAAAUGGAGGUUCAGAGAGGUGAAGUGACUUCUCUCAGGCCACACAUUGAGCAAAGAGCAGAGCCAGGACAUGAAUCCAGACCCCAAGUUUGACUCUUAACCACCCCACACUCCUGCCUCCAUUCAGGAGGGUUUCCUAGUCUGCCCCUGGGCAGGGGCUUCAUCUCUCCCUCUCACCUGGGUUCUAGAAAGGAGCAAUGAGCCUAUUGUCCUGGGGAGCUUGACUGUUAUGCCUAGGAACUCAGGAUCAAGGGGGGGGCCUGGAGAUGGCCCAUGCUGCUCCCCCCACCCCUCUGCCAGCAUUAAGAUGCAGGCCUCCUUGCUUCUCCCAGCAGUGAGAGAAUAAUAGUUGGUUCAAAUGUCAGGCCUGCUCUGCUGCCUGUGGGGAGACUGGUUGAGCAGGUCUGGGGGAGGGACGGAGGGAGGAAAUUAUUAAUAAUUGCAAAGCAGCCAGCCUUGCUGCAGGCCUUGAGAUGAGGUGUGGGUUUGGGGGUGCUAAUCCUAGGGACUCUGCCCUGGAGUGAGAGGCAGCCUGCAGCUUCCCGGGAGCCUGUGUGUGUGGAGGAGGUGAUUGGGGGCACAGAGUCAGCCUUUCUGAUUUGAGACACGUUGGCCUCCCUGCCUCUCAUCAACCCCUAUCAUGAGGGCUCUGCCAGUGUCAAGAGGAGGCAGGAAAGAGCCUACUGUGUGCCCUCGGAAAGUGUCUCACUAUAGCCAGAUGAGGCUGGCAUUGUUACUGUCUUCAAUUGACAGUUGGGGAAACUGAGGCACAGGGGGGUUCAGUUGGGACUUGAAUUAAGGAUGUUUGAUUGCAGCUAGGCUGCCCUUGCUCGUGUCUCAACACUCUACUUAGGGUGGAGGGGAAGACCCCCCCCACAGCAUCAGCAUAAUCGCCAGUGUCAUACCCCAGAGGAUGGGAGUUUGUCCCAGGCUUUUCUGAACCUCAGUCUCUUCAUCUGUACAAUGGGGAGCCAGAGCUCCUUCCUCUAGGUCAGGGGUGGCUGACAACGGGAGGAAGUACGGAGAUAAAGGGCAGGUUUACCACCUGCCUACCAUCUCCUCCCCUCCAGCGCCAGUCCCUGACGACCAUCACCCUACGAACGUCCUUUCUUUCCUCCUUUCUCCAGCACACUCGGCAAGCUCUGCCCGUUAGCCACGACCACAGGCAGCUCUCCACUGGGUCUUCCUUGGCCCUUCGGGGACCUACAGAGAGGGCUCCCUAGCCAGGCUUGGAAAAACUCACCCUGAAAUGUCUUGUGAGUUAUCAGUGCACACUCUAGCAGCAAAAUGGCUUGAAUGGUGCAAGUUGAGGCCAUUCAGGGAAGAAUGGUGGGGAUUCUGGGAGCUGAAAGCCAACCCCUGGGCUUGUGGCUAGCUGCCACCGAUGGCAGAGACAUGCCCAGAUCGCGUGCCACCGAGCUCCAGGACCGCUGCAUCUGUGGGGGACCUCCGGGCGUCCCCCUCCUUGGCCUGCCCCGAUGGACCGAUAAGGCCCAGCUCGGAGGAGGCGGCGGCCAUAAUUACAGGCCUCAGUGGUGGCGGGAGGCGAGUCAUGAGGUGGGGGUGACUCAGAGGAUUGCUCCACGAGUUGAGCGGGGGUGGGGCCGCCCUCCUGUCUGCUCCUCACCCCACUGGCCUGAGGAGGACCUGGGCACCCAAAAGGCCCUUCGGGGCCCCUGGGCGCGGCCAGGCCAGGGGCUCACCCCGAGCCUAUGACUAGGGGCCUGUGCCUCUUGGCAUCCUUGGGGCUUGGCUUUGUGUCGGGAUCUGGGCGGCUGGGUUUUCCCCUUGCUCCCUCUCGGGCAUCAUUUCUGGGAAGUGGGAAUCAGGGCUCCGAGGCGCCAGACAGUGAGGUCCAACUGAGAGUAGCAGGCUGGUGGCCGUGCAGAUUUACCGGACCACGGGGGCGGGGCGCCGGGAAUCCCAGAUUAGGGACACGUGUGGGCUCCCAAGAACUGGCAGGUGCUGCUUUCUAGAACCAAUAUUUCCAGGUUCAAGGAUUCAUGGAUUAGCAGAUUUGUAGAAUUAUAAGUUUAUAAAAUCAGGGAAUCAGUUACAAUUGGUUCCAGAGAAUUUAUACAUCCAUUGAGGGAGAGAUUUAAAAAAAAAAAUCACAACAGCUGAAGAAUUUAGGAAUAAAUUAUCUUGGUGUCUUCAGCUUGCUCCCACACUGGUCACCAAGAAGAAAAAAGAAAAGGGAAUAAAAGUAUAAAUAUCCAUCCUGUUCUACCUAGCGAGAGGAAAAGUGCAUGAAGCUAAAAGUCCGCAACUGGUGAAGUGAGGCGUUCGUUGUGCUGGGUUUUUCUUUUGAACUUUCUCUGGUUUUGAAAUUUGCCAAAAGGAAAAAUUGGGGAAGAGUAAAAUAGGAAAUGAAAUGUAAACAUGAGGUGUAGUGUAAUGGAUGAUACGUCCGGGUGAUCUGUAACAGGGUGACUUCGUGAUUUCUGUGUCUGUGACUCUCUUGAUUUGUUCAUUAUGGUUUCUAGCUAUAUGAUGUUUGGGUUACGUACUGUAGGUCAGGAGCUAUUCUAGAGGCUCUGCAAAUAUUAACUUAUUUAAUUCUUAACAACAACCCUAUGAGGUGGGUGUUAUUGUGGUGCUCGUUUCACAGAUGGAGAAACUGAGGCAUGGGGGGGUUAACUUAUUCAAAUCUUGCUCAGUGCCUUGUUGGGUGCCUGCUACCUGCCAGAUACUGUGCUAGAUGCUGGAAUAGAGCAGAGUUCAGGACAGACACUGUCCCUGCCCUUGGGGAAUUUGGCAGGGAAGACAAAUAAUAAACAAAUGAGUAAGAUUAUUGGAAGUUUAAGGCGGAAAAUGAGGCUGCUGCUUUGAGGGUGCAGGGGCUCCCUCAGAUCAAGUGAGCAGGAGGGCCCAUCUGAGGAGGUGGUUUUGAGUGGGGGCCAAGGGAGUGAAGGAGGCUCACUGGGCAGAAUGCCCUCCCUUUGCCCCAGCUGUGCCUUCUGCCAGGAGCGCCCUUCCCUCUGCAUCUCUGUGCCAAACUCCCACUCACUGUUCCAGACCCUGCUGGGCAGGCACUUCCUCCGGUGGUGGGAGGUGGACUGGGGGGCUUCCCCAGCCGGAGGGGGAAACUGUCCUCCCCUGUCUUCUCUCUCCUCUCUGUUCCUGGGACAGGCCCUGAAUGUGGGGGGCCUCCCUCAAAUCAGCAGCAACACCCACCUGCCAGGACUGCCAGCCACUAUGCUGGGGUCUCUCCCGGAGUGGGAGACAGGAUUAUCUCCUAGGAAGGAGAUGAAGGUCCAGAUAGGUGAAGAGACUUGCCUAAGGACACCCAGCUAAUUAGCAAGUAUUUAAUGAGGGGAAGGGUCUGCACUCAAGACUGACAGGCUGCCUUUUGGUUAUUGUUUACCUGCCACCUCCCUGCCCCCUGGCUGGGGGCCUCUUGAGGGCAGGUGCUGGGAGCCUGACUUAGCUUGGUGCCCGGCAUCCCCUAGCUCUGGGCCUGGGCUGCUUGGAGAAGGCGUGUGGAAUGAUCUGACCUUUGCCAGGCUGAGAGCGUGAAAUUGAGCAACAUCUAGCUAGGCCAGAACCCUGGGGGUGGCCCUUCCUCCAGGGGAAGGCAGGUGGGGAUCCAAGCCCCCGGGCAUCCAGAGGGACCCGGUGCCUGCUGGCCCCCUCUAUGCCCCAGUGAGCAUUGAGAACCUACUUGGGACAAGUGGCCCACGUCACCCCCACAACGGAUUGGUUCAGACCCUUUGCUCUCCAAGCCUGUUCCUGGAACCCCCUGGCGCACAUGGGCAGACUACCCGCACGCCCAUUUCCCAUCCCAGCCCCAGGGGCUCCACCAGCUGGUGGGGACACAGAGGUGCUCAGAAGGUUCUGUCUGAGAUGAGGGGUGCAGGUGUGUGGGAGAGGGGCUCCCUCCCUGCAUCUCUGUCACUGAGGAACCUGGCAGGGUGGAAGGAGCCCAGACAUGGAGUUCUCACACUGGGUUCAAAGCUGCUCUGUCCUUUGAGGCUCUAAAGUCUGAAAACUUGGUCUUAUCUGCAAAAUGGAGACCGUCAAACUACCCGCCCUGGGGGAUGAAACAGUAGCACCCGGCCGGCACAUAGUAGGUACUCGAUAAACACCAGCUGUGGUAGCUACAGAUUAGGACCACUGCUGAGGAUUUCUGAGUCUUCGUUCACUCAUUCAUUGCCCCAGUAUUUCCUGAGACCCUACUGUGUGUCAGGCCCUGAGUAGAGUGUUAGGGGCCCAUCACAGAACAAAACAGACAAAAUCUUGCCUUUGGACAGAGGGACAGUGAACGAGGGAACAAGGAAGCAAACAGCAUCAUUUCCGACCGCAGUAAAUGCUUUGAAGGAAAUGAAGCAGGGAGGCAUAAUAGAGAGUGACUGGGGACCCCUUCGGGAGAGGGCCUCCCUGAGAAGCAGCUGUGGCCUAAAAGAAGGGUGUUGAAGGUGCAGGGAACAGCAGAAGCAAAGGCCCUGAGGUCAGAACUAGUGAGGUGGGUUCAUGGAACACUAGGGCCGUCACUGUGGGGGGCGCAGAGCGAGGGAGAGGAUUGGAAAGAGAGGGAGGCAGGGGUGAGGACUUGGAAUUUCAUUCCAACAGUGAUGAUUAUAAACAAAGACCAAAGUUGUGAAUGACUACAAUAUACAAAGCGCAAACUCAUAGUGAUUCACUUCCAGCCCAGAGCUUGGGCACUUUGGGUCAGGCUCCUCAAAGAAAAGCACCUGCUCACCCCUCCCCUGCCAACUUUCUUGUGUAAAGAAAUACUAAGGGAACAGGUCACUGCCAUCUGUGAGGUGCAAACACAGUGUGUAAGAUGCAAAUGUGUGUGUUAGUUGCGAAUGUAGCCACAACAUCUGGCCUUGGUGCUUGUGGGGAGGGGGAAGGGGCCGGGGAGGGGGCCGCGUAACAUCACCAGCCCUGAUUUCAACAGCACCGUCUCAACUGGGGAAAGCUUGGGAGAUCAGCUGGUCUAACCCCCUGACUCCCAGAUGAGGAACCUGAGGUCCAGACAAAGGGAAGUAAGUGGCCAAAGGUGACACUAUGAGUCAGAGGCAGAUGUAGGACUUGAACCCAGGCCCCCAACUUCCAACCCAGACUUUCUGAGAAAUGGGUGUCUUGCCAUGUGCUUCCCCUUUGUUCUUUCCUCCCAGACAGAGUCAGCUGCCCUCAGGGCCAGGGAGGAGGCCUGGGACAGGGGUCUGGAGAUUUGGGGCCCACCCCCUCACUCUCCUGAAGAAUUUCUUGGUGGCACCACUGGCGUUUUGACCCAGAUAAUCUACCCUCUGCUUUGGAGGCUGUCCUGGUGGAGUAUCUCUCAGAUGGACCCCUGCCUAGAAGCGGGGGCAAAGGAAUGCCUCUGGAGAUUGUAAAGUUGCAGGGAAGGAGGCAUUUCACUUAGAGGUAGUAAUGAUCCCCGAGGGUUAACCCCCCAAUGGCAUUGCUGGAUAUUGACGUAAACGACAGGCAAUUACAGGAUGAAUAACUCAGGAGCUACUCCCAUGUUAGGAGAAUAGAUCCUUUGGCUCAAGACACAAUUUGCACGCAGAACGAUUUUCACAGAGCGCCACUUCCCUUCAGCCCGCAGAUGAGCACGCCGUGACCUGGAAACCUGAGGCCGGGAACUCACAGAAUGGACGGCCACAUGAUGAAGGUGCUGCUGUCGAAGGGCCAGGUGUGGAGAAAGCCAUUCCAGCGACUCUAAGAGUAUGGGGGGGAAGAACGCAGACUGGAAAAAGAAAUGAGUUUUGAAGAGUAGACUUUAUUUUUUAGAACGGUUUUAGACUUGCAGAAAAAUGAAAACGGUAGCACCCUACACCGUUUCUCCCAUGGUUAAUGCCGUAGCAUUAGCGUGAUCCACUUGUUAAAAUUAAUGCACCAGUGUUAAGGCAUGAUUGUGAACAAAGUGCCUAGUUUAUUCAGAUCCUUUUUUCAUAGUUUACUUGCAUCCUUUUUCUGGUACAGGAUCCCACUCAAGAUUCCACAUCACGUUUAGUUAUCACGUUCCUUUAGGCUCCUCUUGGCUGUGCCAGUUUCUCAGACUUGCUUUGUCUUCUGUGACCUUGACAAGUUUCAAGGACUGCCGGUCAGGUUUUUGGUAGGCUCCUCCUCUGUUGGAAUACUUUGACUGAUGUUUUGCUUAUGAUCAGAGGAGGAAGUUCUCAGGAGGAAAGCGCCAUUUUUAUCAUAUAUCAAGGGCACAUCCUAUCAACAUGAUUUAUCACUGUGGGUAUUGACCUUGAUCACCUGGCUCAGGUAGUGUUUGUCGGUUUCCUCCACCGGAAAGUUACUCCGUUUUUCCCUUUUCAAAGUAUCCUCUUUGGAAGGAAGUCACUCUGUGGUUCAGUUCUGCUUGUAUCAGUAGGGACUCAAGGAUAUUUAUUUUAUUUAUAUGUUGGGUUAUAAUUCAAGACCACUGGGAGCUCUUUCACCCAUCAACGUUGGUGCUUUUGUUUAGUGUUUUGUUUGGCUUUUGUUUUGAGCAUUUUCUUAUCUCUGACACCACAUCUCGUAUGUUUCCUGCACCAGUCUUAAAAUCAGCCAUUUCUCCAUGUGGAGCCAUGGCUCCUUCUAUGGGAGAAUGGUGUUAGAAACCAAGCUCUGGGGCUGAGUGUGCCCAUGGCUCGUAGGGUGGCAUUUCUUCUAGGCCUUCUCAGCUGACAGAGAGAAGAAACAUAUGUGUGUAUAUUAACCCACAUGUAUGUACACAUCUGUAAAUGUUUUUAUAUGUAUCCAUCUAUAUCUAUAUUUAGCCAAACGUGAGUUCGUCCUGAUGUCUCCAGGAUCCGUUAUGUUUUAUAAUGUGAUUUGAAAUAGUAGUCUGUCACCAUAUUGAUAAGUAUAAUUAUAGCUAGCACUUACUGACUGCUCAUGAUGGUUGAGUUCUAAGUGUUUAAUGGGCAUCAUCUUUAUGCUUCAUGACAACCCCAGGUCCUGGUUACUCCCCUCAACCCCAUUUUACUGAUGAGGACAUAAAGGCACAGAGAAGCUUUCCUGAGAUAUGAUGGACACAGAACAUUGUGAUAUUUAAGGUGUACAGCCUGUUGAGUUGAUACCUUCUCUACUGCAAAGUGAUCACCACCCUCGUGUUCGCAAACACCUCCUGUGGAAUGUCUUUCUUUUACGCAUCAUGCUGUGGUUUUGGGAAGGAAGAACAUAGGACCCAGUACCUCGUAGAUGCUCUGAGGCCCCGGAGCCUGCUGGACAUAUGGAGGAAAAGAAUGAACUUCUUCGGGACUUAUCGUCGCCUGUGAAGUGAGUGCUUUCCAUCUACUUGCCACAUACAUAGAACCUCUCAACCACCACUGAGGCGAAGACUAUACCCAUCCUCACUUAGCAGAAUGGAAGAGACAAGAGAAAGACAACUGUGCUCUAGAAAUGUGGUUUUGCUUCAUCCCCACCACAACUGUCCAAGGCGUGUAUGUCUCUUAUCCCCAUCGGACAGUUGAGGACACGGUUGAAGACACUGGCGCGAGGUCCCCCAGCUGGGUCUGAGCUAGGUCUGUCCAAACCCCAAAGUCUGUUUUUAAACCGGGAUGCUCAGGUGCCCUUCAGAAUGUCCUUCAAGGAAAUUGCAUUGCUUUGAAAAUCUGAGGGGGAAAACCAAACAAACCAAACAAGAAAUAUUACAUUUUUUUAACCACUUACUCGAGCUCUGAUGGGGCCUAAGACGAACUCAGCAAGGGGCACUGUUUGUACUUCAGGUGGGGCGUUCCUUCAUCAUGCCUGGCCGUACCCCGAUGGCAAGUCCCUGCCCCUAAAACCCCAGCUGAGCCAUCCCGUCAUCUGUCACCCAGAACCACCCCCCUCACACUCUCCAAACCUCCCCCACUCCCAGUUGCAGAAUGCUGGUUGGGAUUGAGCAGGGCCAGGAGCCGUCUUGUGUGGCUGUGGGGUCUGGGUGGAGGAGAGAGACACGAGAGGCCGGCAGCCCCAGACUCACAGGCCAGGUGGCCACCAAGGGCCAUCCACUCUUGGGCCAGCUGAGGCCAGGCCGGGAGGGCCGGAGCCCGGUGCUGUGAGCUGGGCAGGCGGCCACUACAGUGGGGACCGGGAAGGCGUGCGCUCCCUCCGCCUGCCCGGCAGCAGCCCGUGGCUGCCCGCCAGGCCCUGCCUGACGUCAGGGUCUGACCAGGGACAUAAUGUGCUGGCGUCGGGACAAGGGCUGGCUGCAGGGAGACAGGGCCGCGAGGCGGGGCGGUCAGAGAGAGACAGGCUAGGCGGGGAGAGAAGAGGAGAAA
Ailuropoda melanoleuca (giant panda) is the source of this 12701-nucleotide long non-coding RNA. RefSeq lists it as uncharacterized. NCBI's taxonomy places the organism in Eukaryota, Metazoa, Chordata, Mammalia, Carnivora, Ursidae. The record is from RefSeq and is a predicted model, not a curated record. The transcript has 4 exons.